RNAcentral lists this ribosomal RNA (450 nucleotides) under uncultured Glomeromycotina. RNAcentral's name for it is "SSU rRNA". It matches the Rfam family "Eukaryotic small subunit ribosomal RNA", at positions 569 to 1027 of the family's 1831-position model. Lineage: Eukaryota; Fungi; Glomeromycota. The record is from RNAcentral.
AGCAGCCGCGGUAAUUCCAGCUCCAAUAGCGUAUAUUAAAGUUGUUGCAGUUAAAAGCUCGUAGUUGAAUUUCGGGAUCAGUAUGUUGGUCGUGCUUCGGUACGUACUGUCAUUACUGGUUUCUACCUUCUGAAGAACCUUGAUGUCAUUAAUUUGGUGUCUUGGGGAAUCAGGACUGUUACUUUGAAAAAUUAGAGUGUUUAAAGCAAGCAUACGCUUGAAUACAUUAGCAUGGAAUAAUGAAAUAGGACGUUUGAUUCUAUUUUGUUGGUUUCUAGGAUCGACGUAAUGAUUAAUAGGGAUAGUUGGGGGCAUUAGUAUUCAAUUGUCAGAGGUGAAAUUCUUGGAUUUAUUGAAGACUAACUACUGCGAAAGCACUUGCCAAGGAUGUUUUCAUUAAUCAAGAACGAAAGUUAGGGACCGAAGACGAUCAGAUACCGUCGUAGUCUU